Molecule: non-coding RNA, 45 nt
Organism: Schistosoma rodhaini
Lineage: Eukaryota; Metazoa; Platyhelminthes; Trematoda; Strigeidida; Schistosomatidae
Source: Rfam
AUCCAGCUGACGAGUCUUAAAUAGGACGAAAUGCGCAUCCUGGAU